UGGCUCAGUGAGGCUUCCGGACUGGCCCAGAGAGGUCGGCAACGACCACUCAGGGCCGGAAAGCUAUCCAAACUCGGUCAUUUAGAGGAAGUAAAAGUCGUAACAAGGU
This 109-nucleotide ribosomal RNA is filed under the name uncultured fungus. RNAcentral describes it as "partial 18S ribosomal RNA". It matches the Rfam family "Eukaryotic small subunit ribosomal RNA", at positions 1694 to 1800 of the family's 1831-position model. Lineage: Eukaryota; Fungi. The record is from RNAcentral.